Molecule: ribosomal RNA, 459 nt
Filed under: uncultured bacterium
Lineage: Bacteria
Description: partial 16S ribosomal RNA
Rfam family: Bacterial small subunit ribosomal RNA
Source: RNAcentral
CCUACGGGCGGCAGCAGUGAGGAAUAUUGGUCAAUGGCCGCGAGGCUGAACCAGCCAAGUCGCGUGAGGGAAGACGGUCCUAUGGAUUGUAAACCUCUUUUGUCGGGGAGCAAAAGACGCCACGCGUGGCGGUCCGAGAGUACCCGAAGAAAAAGCAUCGGCUAACUCCGUGCCAGCAGCCGCGGUAAUACGGAGGAUGCGAGCGUUAUCCGGAUUUAUUGGGUUUAAAGGGUGCGCAGGCGGAAGUGCAAGUCAGCGGUAAAAUUGAGGGGCUCAACCACUUCGUGCCGUUGAAACUGGUUUUCUUGAGUGAGUGAGAAGUAUGCGGAAUGCGGGGUGUAGCGGUGAAAUGCAUAGAUAUAACGCAGAACUCCGAUGGCGAAGGCAGAAUACCGGCGCGCAACUGACGCUCAUGCACGAAAGUGUGGGUAUCGAACAGGAUUAGAUACCCUAGUAGUC